GUGGAAACAGGCUAUUCCCACUCCCUUCCGAGUCCCGGUCUCUGCCUUCUGCGGAGAACACUCUGUCUAGACUGGCACCUGCCCGUGGCAAGUCAGCCCCACCAAAGAACACGCCGAGGUGGUGGGAGAAACACGGUGGGAGUGGCGCUGGCUCUUACCUGCCAGCCUCCAACCCGGGUGUGUGAGAAUUAGAAAUAACCCCCCAGGUGAUCCACUUCCGGCUUUCUAUAACUGAAUUCUAGAAUGUCCUCAAAGUUCACCUUCAUGGCCGUUUGUGGUCCCCAAAUACCUCCCAGGUGACACCCGCAUCACUUGGUGUGACGUCAUAAUGAGGUCACAAUAGAGCCCGGGGGGCCGUUGUCCCGAAGGUUUCUGUGGCCACGCAUUUCCUGCAAAGAGAGGCCUCCCGAUUGGACGCAGAUAUUCAGGCUGUGGUCCAGGACCGAGACAAGGCUCAGCGUCUUCACAGGAUGGAGAAUGGAAAUCAAGGGAGCUGAGGACAAUGGGCGUGUCACCUGGAACAGAAGCAUGUAUACCAGCCUGGGGGACGGUCUCAGACCCUUGAGGGCAGCUGAAACAGGGGCCCAGGACGUCAGAGGAUGGGGGCAAGAGGGAAGCUAUGGCUUGGUGGUGCUGUCACCAGCAACGUGGAUUCCCGGGGUCACCCAGGCGAGGAAGUCCGCAGUGAGGCAGAGGGCUCCCCCAGCCGGUGCCGAGCCUGUGGCCACGCUGCCUCCGGUCUUCACAGAUGCUGGCCUCUAUGCCGGGCCCCAGGGGGCCCAAGGGAAAGAAACUGGACAUAGCACAAGGACCUGGACAGAAUCAGGAAUUACCAGGCAGAAAGGAAGGACAAAUGGUAACGACCGGAAGUUCAAGAAAAGGAUCCGAGGCAAAAGGCUGACUGAUGUGGCUGAAGAUACGAAUAAUGCCAUCAAAGGAGUGGACAAGAAGCAGAAACCAGGGGCUGUCCGAGAACGGAAGAGGCAGAGAGUCUGGUUUCAGAGGGUAGCGCCCAGGAAUGGGUGUCCACGGGAAGCUCCUGAUCGUCACCAAAGGAGACAGUGCCUGCCAGCUGGCAUCAGUAUGCACACAGUGGCUGUCACCCACAUGGAGAGGCAGUACAGGUUUGACUCGGAGGACAGGAAUGGCCUCACCAUUACUUGGAGACUGAAGAUACUUCCUGGACCCAAGGGGAAGAAUCAGAAGACUGAUGACAGUCAUAGCCCCCCAUCAGACUUCCCUCGGUCCCCCAGCUGCCUUCACCCUUCGCUCAUCUCUGAGAGAUACCUGAGGCCAUGCUGGGUCUUACUUCUUGUGAUGCCCCAUCGGAGGAAGAAAACCAAGAUGCGUGAAUCACACCCAAAGUUAAAUGAAACAUUUGAACCAGGAAGGCCCCUUGGUGUCUUCAGUUACUUCUAUGGAUGCUGGAAAGUCCUCCAAGAAGGAAGGGGCUUGAAUGCCUUCAGAAAGCUCCAGAACAUCUACCAUGAGUCACUGCCCUUGGAGGUAAGAAGAGUCAAGUCUUCUUUGGAGAGCGUCUUCUCUGCGGUCUGGAGGAAGACGGUCAAGACCUUGGCUCUGGGUGAGGAGGCAAGUGGAACAAAAGAUAAAAAAAUGGUUCAUUGCUGGAAGAAGGAGAGGCGUGUGCUCACACACAACACGGUGAGGUUUGGACCCAGGACCCUAGUGGGCGCCAGGAGGUCAAGAGAUGAGUUUCUAGGAGCAGCUCACAUCAGGAGGCCAGCCCAAAAGAAGAGAGGAAACAGAAUUCCUGUUCUGACCCAUAACCUGGUCAGAUUUGGCCUGAGGACCCUUGUGGGAGCCAAGAGGGCAGCAGAUAUUCCUGACCCGUGAGUAGAUGUGCGUGGGUGGGUGGGAAGAGCUUGUCAAACAGAUACUGGGCCCUAAGAUGUCACAGAUCUAAAGGACCAUAAAAUUAGAAGGGACUUUGGAAUGCAUCUUGCCCAGUCCAGCCCAUUCACAGCUGUGAAAAGGGCAUGAUUAUUUUGCCUUGGCCACAGUCGCCCCCUGACAGAUGAAAUGUGAUUCAGUUGAGAGAUGACCAUGACAGGUGUAUAUGGAGACUAGGAGAACGGGAUUGAGGGUCAGCCAUUCUGAGACUGAAUGGAGAAAGGAAGAAAGAAAAUAUUGAAAGCUUUCAAAAGGAGAAUCUAUCAUCUUGGUCAUGGUCUCAACUGUAGCAUCAAGUAAGGACAGAAAUCCUAUGGGGCUCAAGCCAUUUUGCUGUCCAUUUCUGGUUAAUUUUAUCCAUAGCUCGAUGGAGGCACAGACCAAUUUUACAGACAUUUUUUCCUCUAACAGUUACGAGCCUACACAGUCUCAGAGGUGAACUGUCACAUGGAUCCAUGUAUGCAGGUUUAGUUUUAGAUUUAAAAAGUCAAUUCCAUAAGCACAGCUUUGUAUAGACAGACGCAUCCUUGCGUAUUCUGAGAUACUCAAACCACAUUUGGACCAUGCCUUGAGCUCCUGGGACCUUGUGUUAAGAGGAACCUUAGCAAAUUGUUACCAUAUUUGAAAGGUGGGUGGUGAGGGGACUGGAAACCAUGUAGUAUGGGGAAGGGUUGGGGAAGUUGGGGAUUUUAAACAAAGCCUGGUGAAGUGAAUCAUGAACUGGGCUGGUGGUCCUCAGUUAUUGAAAGGACUGUACAGAAGAGGGAUUCCAUUUCUUCUGAAUUGCCCUUGAUCAUUAGACUAGAAUCAAGGGGGAGAAACAGACAUGAAGACAGACCCUGGCUUCCUGAAAGGACACCCUUUCUGUUAGAUUUCACUGACUUGGAUGGGCUGCCUCACCGAGGAGUGGCCUGGGAGCUCAUACUGGGUUCCCUGCAUUUGUAAGAAGUUAGGGUCUGCAGACCUCGAGGAGCUCUUACCUGUGCCAAGAGUUAACACCUCCACCUUCUUCCUUCUCUUUUCCCUCUUUCUCUUUUCCCGGUGUGUUACCCUGUACGGGUGUGCAGAGCAGGCAUAAGACUAUAUGAGAUACAGAUCUUACUUUCUCUUUGGAGGCACUCGUUGGGAAAAUAUUGUUCCAUAUUGUCACUAAUAGACUACUAAGUAUAUGUUAUCCCUAAUAUACUACAAAUAUACCUCUUUACUAAGGGGUGAAGUGAAAGAGAACUCUUGGCUUACAGAUGUUUUCUCACUGUGUCAGUCGGGGUUCUCCAGAGAAACAGAA
Molecule: long non-coding RNA, 3196 nt
Filed under: Ailuropoda melanoleuca (giant panda)
Lineage: Eukaryota; Metazoa; Chordata; Mammalia; Carnivora; Ursidae
Description: lncRNA (ENSAMEG00000029455.1)
Source: RNAcentral